Molecule: ribosomal RNA, 460 nt
Filed under: uncultured bacterium
Lineage: Bacteria
Description: partial 16S ribosomal RNA
Rfam family: Bacterial small subunit ribosomal RNA
Source: RNAcentral
CCUACGGGAGGCAGCAGUGGGGAAUAUUGGUCAAUGGCCGGAAGGCUGAACCAGCCAUGCCGCGUGAAGGUCAGUGCCCUAUGGGCGUUAAACUUCUUUUGUGCGGGAGCAAUAAUGGUCACGUGUGGCCAGACGAGAGUACCGUACGAAUAAGCAUCGGCUAACUCCGUGCCAGCAGCCGCGGUAAUACGGGGGAUGCAAGCGUUAUCCGGAUUUAUUGGGUUUAAAGGGUGCGUAGGCUGUGAGGUAAGUCAGCGGUGAAAUGCCCCCGCUCAACGGGGUGAAGUGCCAUUGAUACUGCCUGGCUGGAAUGCGGAUGCCGUGGGAGGAAUGUGUGGUGUAGCGGUGAAAUGCAUAGAUAUCACACAGAACACCGAUUGCGAAGGCAUCUCACGAAUCCGCGAUUGACGCUGAUGCACGAAAGCGUGGGUAUCAAACAGGAUUAGAUACCCGAGUAGUC